UGCUCAGCCUGUUAAUAUUAGGCCCUAAAAUAACCACAUCACCAAAAUGCAGAGAUUGAAAAGUCAUUAGUAGAUAUGCUUUCUGCCACCAUAAUCCAACCUAGUAACAGCCCAUAUUCUUCUUCUGUUUUAUUGGUCAUGAAGAAGGAUAGAAAAAGGAGGUUUUGUAUUGACUAUAGGAAACUUAAUGACUUGAUAGUUAAAGA
Molecule: unclassified non-coding RNA, 206 nt
Filed under: Hevea brasiliensis (rubber tree)
Lineage: Eukaryota; Viridiplantae; Streptophyta; Magnoliopsida; Malpighiales; Euphorbiaceae
Source: RNAcentral